RNAcentral lists this long non-coding RNA (305 nucleotides) under Elaeis guineensis (African oil palm). RNAcentral describes it as "long non-coding RNA (EGUI_LNC035717)". Lineage: Eukaryota; Viridiplantae; Streptophyta; Magnoliopsida; Arecales; Arecaceae. The record is from RNAcentral.
CCUCUGAUCUAAGAUCACCACGAUGACUUACAAGCAACUCAUUGUACUUUGGUGUCGGACUAACUAAGUUUCUAAUUCAGUAACGAAAGACUUCUGAGUGCAGUCAAGUACUUGUAAGUCGGUGCAUGAGUGAAGAUGGGAUUGACCCCUCCGAAUUAGUAGGAGUUAAUAUAUCAAUGUAUUUCAAUUUAGUAAAAUCUGAAUCCAGAUAAUCUAUGUGAUGGAUUUGAAAAAAAUUAAAAUAUAAUAUGGAUGACUUAUCUAAGAUUGAUAGUUAAAUUUUAGAUCAUCCUCGAGGAUUAGGA